UGAGGAAUAUUGGGCAAUGCCCGCAAGGGUGACCCAGCAACGCCGCGUGGAGGAUGAAUGUCGUAAGAUUGUAAACUCCUGUUAGAGGGGAAGAAUAGUACCGGUUGGACCGGUAUAUGACUGUACCCUCAGAGAAAGCCCCGGCUAACUACGUGCCAGCAGCCGCGGUAAUACGUAGGGGGCAAGCGUUGUCCGGAUUUACUGGGUGUAAAGGGCGCGCAGGCGGGAUAAAAAGUCAGUGGUGAAACCCUACAGCUUAACUGUAGAACUGCCUUUGAUACUUUUAUUCUUGAGUUCGGGAGAGAGAGACGGAAUUCCAGGUGUAGUGGUGAAAUACGUAGAUAUCUGGAAGAACACCAGUUGCGAAGGCGGUCUCUUGGUCCGACACUGACGCUGAGGCGCGAAAGCGUGGGGAGCAAACA
RNAcentral lists this ribosomal RNA (422 nucleotides) under uncultured bacterium. RNAcentral's name for it is "bacterial SSU rRNA". It matches the Rfam family "Bacterial small subunit ribosomal RNA", at positions 355 to 774 of the family's 1533-position model. The record is from RNAcentral.